UACGUAGGGUGCAAGCGUUGUCCGGAAUUAUUGGGCGUAAAGAGCUCGUAGGCGGUCUGUCGCGUCGGCUGUGAAAUCCCGAGGCUCAACCUCGGGUCUGCAGUCGAUACGGGCAAACUAGAGUAUUGCAGGGGAGACUGGAAUUCCUGGUGUAGCGGUGAAAUGCGCAGAUAUCAGGAGGAACACCGGUGGCGAAGGCGGGUCUCUGGGCCGAUACUGACGCUGAGGAGCGAAAGCGUGGGGAGCAAACAGG
This 253-nucleotide ribosomal RNA is filed under the name uncultured bacterium. RNAcentral's name for it is "partial 16S ribosomal RNA". It matches the Rfam family "Bacterial small subunit ribosomal RNA", at positions 524 to 776 of the family's 1533-position model. The record is from RNAcentral.